GUUGACUUCCGCCAUAAUUUACUUGAUGUUGAUAUUCCACGUGGAUAACUGUGGUAAUUCUAGAGCUAAUACAUGCACCAAAGCUCCGAUCUCAUGACGAGCGCAUCUAUUAGACCAAAAACCAAUCGAGAAUAUUCGCCUCAAAACGAAUGCCUCGUAAAUUUGGUGACUCUGAAUAGCUUAGCUGAUCGCAUGGUCUCGCACCGGCGACGUAUCUGUCAGGUGUCUGCCUGAUCAACUUUCGAUGGUAGUUUAUAUGCGGGGGUGGUUGUGAGGGGCUGGAAAUAACGGUCAAUCGGGAGGGGGCCGUAACGCUACAAACCAGGGAAGGGCAGGGGCCCCGACUCCUACGGGGGGCCGGACAGAGACGAGGGGGCUUCAUAAGACAACAAGGCAGAAUAAGGGGGGGGGGAAAAAAAAGCAAGAGGAGGGGCCGCGGAACUAUUGGGGGUAAGGACGCCGCCGAAACUGGGGGCAGUGCCCCGGGCCGCUUCCACAAAAAUACAAACCCGGGCAUCAAAGGGAAUGGCGGCCGGGAAGUUUGUAAGUGGGGCACGGGGCCGCAACGAAGGCAAAGAGGGCUAUACGCAAGGGGCGGAAUAGUAUAUUGCUAUAUAAUAAGGGUUUUAAAAGCGGGGGGGUUUGAGCCAGGCUUCUUUUUCGGGGAACUUUCUUAACUGCCAGAACGUAUCACGAGAGUAGAGAGAAGGGACACUUGGGCCGAAAGCGUGGGGGGUUUUAUGAUAUUAUUUUGACCGACAUAUAUGAUUUAAAGCAGCGGGCCCCUACACGUCAGGGGAGUUAUAUAUUAUUUCAUGCACGGUAAGGUAGUAAUUGGUAAAGGGCAUAGCCGUGUAUGAAGUAUAGUACUUUCAGUGCCAUACCCUCAUUAGCGCGACUAUUAUAAUGCUACUAUGCCUCACAUCUACUAACUUUUAUGUAUUAGUACUCAACAGUUGACAUGGCUAGCAAGGGAAUAUGUAAGUAUACGAGAAUGCAUGA
Molecule: ribosomal RNA, 1002 nt
Filed under: Procamallanus istiblenni
Lineage: Eukaryota; Metazoa; Nematoda; Chromadorea; Rhabditida; Camallanidae
Description: partial small subunit ribosomal RNA
Rfam family: Eukaryotic small subunit ribosomal RNA (bases 1-358)
Source: RNAcentral